UAGGCCCUCCAGGUAAAGCGGACAAUUCUUCUUCCAAUGACCAUUUGUAUGAUAGUGGAAAUAUUUUUCUUUAUUUGCAGCCUUCUUCAGAGUGUCUUACUUUGGCUUCUUCCCUUUCUUCUGCUUCUUUGUAGGCUUGUUCUUUUUCUUCUAAGAAGACUUUCUUUUGGAGGAAGGUUCCUGCUCCACAGUAAGAACAGAGCCCCUUGAAUUCUUCAAGGCCCUUUCUAUAGUAACCAAUAUGUUGAUAAGU
Molecule: long non-coding RNA, 253 nt
Filed under: Elaeis guineensis (African oil palm)
Lineage: Eukaryota; Viridiplantae; Streptophyta; Magnoliopsida; Arecales; Arecaceae
Description: long non-coding RNA (EGUI_LNC059609)
Source: RNAcentral